MicroRNA precursor from Medicago truncatula (barrel medic), 87 nucleotides. It matches the Rfam family "MIR2617 microRNA precursor family". The record is from Rfam. NCBI's taxonomy places the organism in Eukaryota, Viridiplantae, Streptophyta, Magnoliopsida, Fabales, Fabaceae.
UUGAAAUGUAGCAUGCUCGUUUGGUGUUAAACUCUGAUGUUAUAUUUAUUAUUAAUUGUAUUUUGGGUAACGGGGUGUUACAAUUGG